GUUGCUUCGGCGGGCCCGCCUUCAUGCCGGGGGGUCUCUAGCCCCCCGGGCCCGCGCCGGAGACUCCACUAUGUCCGAAGUUUGCAGUCUGAGUUUUCAUAUAAGAAAAGUUAAAACUUUCAACAACGGAUCUCUUGGUUCCGGCAUCGAUGAAGAACGCAGCGAAAUGCGAUACGUAAUGUGAAUUGCAGAAUUCAGUGAAUCAUCGAGUCUUUGAACGCACAUUGCGCCCUCUGGUAUUCCGGGGGGCAUGCCUGUCCGAGCGUCAUUGCUGCCCUCAAGCACGGCUUGUGUGUUGGGCCCCCGUCCCGUCUCCGCCGGGACGGGCCCGAAAGGCAGCGGCGGCACCGUGUCCGGUCCUCGAGUGUAUGGGGCUCUGUCACCCACUCGUGUAGGCCCGGCCGGCGGCUAGCCUCAACCAAACUUUUUUAACCAGGUUGACCUCGGAUCAGGUAGG
This 457-nucleotide ribosomal RNA is filed under the name Aspergillus conicus. RNAcentral describes it as "eukaryotic LSU rRNA". The stretch from base 115 to 268 matches the Rfam family "5.8S ribosomal RNA". The record is from RNAcentral. Lineage: Eukaryota; Fungi; Ascomycota; Eurotiomycetes; Eurotiales; Aspergillaceae.